AACCUUCAUGCUACGUGUGCAAUAAGGAACAAGCUGAAGUUAUUGUCUUGAAUAAGACUCGCUCUUGGCUAGAAGUACACAGCUCUUGAGUCAAUUGAAUUGUUGAAAUGAAGUAGGAAUCAAUGUUCAGGUUCCAGCCAUUUCGGAUGUAGGAGCUGGGGUGCAUGACCAGACCGUAGGCCAGAAUCUUUAGAAAGGUUUCUACAAUGAAGAAGACCAGAAAGAUGUACUCCACUUGUUCCUGUAGACACAGAGGAAUCAUCAAUCUGAACAAUUUUAACAAUAUCACAAAAUGUAUGAAUGUGUGUGUGUGUGUGUACUGUAAAGUAACAACAUUAUAAUAAUUCUAAUAAACACAGUUAAUGAA
Molecule: long non-coding RNA, 367 nt
Organism: Tachysurus fulvidraco (yellow catfish)
Lineage: Eukaryota; Metazoa; Chordata; Actinopteri; Siluriformes; Bagridae
Exons: 3
Source: RefSeq, a predicted model, not a curated record